Myripristis murdjan (pinecone soldierfish) is the source of this 1243-nucleotide long non-coding RNA. RefSeq lists it as uncharacterized. The transcript has 3 exons. NCBI's taxonomy places the organism in Eukaryota, Metazoa, Chordata, Actinopteri, Holocentriformes, Holocentridae. The record is from RefSeq and is a predicted model, not a curated record.
UGCAGCCUCUUGGCCCUCCAUGGCACGAGUUUGACACCUGUGAUAUAGACCAACUGAUGAGGGUGCAGAGACAGAGGCUGAAGUCAAGGCAGGUGGGACUGCAGGGAGAACAGACAGGAAUCAGGUUUCACAACAGGCAGCAAACAGCAAAACAGGGCUGCCUGGAAGAGCUGUUAACUGACUGAGAGAGACUACGACCUGGUGCAGCUGAUAUAUGGAGGUUUCUUAAUUGCAGGAUGAGGUGCAGCUGCCCCGACUCCAACACACCUAUCUCCACUCAGGGCCAAGUGAGUGCAUCCAGCUGAUAUAUGGAGCCCUGGGAGCAGGAACGGGAUACUUCACUCUCAAAGUGUGUCAUGAAGGUCAGUGAACGUGAAAGGCCGGGUGCUUUGUUUAUCUUACCACCCACUCCACUGAUGUGCACUCCCACAGUGCCGAGUGGAGCGGCCUGCUCAUGCACAGCCCCUCUGGAUGGCGUCCAGCGCUGCUCUUGGUGGAAGUGAUGAGGAAACUCCGGCCAUUCAGCGACUCUGAGUCACCGAGUCAUGUAAACACUGGUCUGAAAAAAUACUCCAGCAUGUCAUGUGGCUUUAGGUCACAUCAACACAGCUUCAUUCUCAUAGCUGCCUGCCGCUGACUCGGGGAGAUCCAGAGGGACGCAGCCAGACAUGUGGAGCGGGCCCAGAUGUUAAUCUGCUUGUUUUCUCCAGUAAACCUGCUGCAUGUUUCCUCUCGUGAUCGUGCCCUUCUCUGAAUUCCUACUGUCAUAAUAUUUUUGACAUCAAUCCAUCAGCAGGGAUUGCUAAAAGCAUGCAUUAAAGGAGAGUGAAUGACACAAAUGUAAACAGUAUUGACGCUGUUUAUAUCAGCUGAGCGAGGCAAGCUGUGCUGCCAGGAAUCUCCAUCUUCAGUGUUAAAGGCUUGUUUUUAUUCAAACACGACAUCAAAUCUGCCAGGGGCCGAGUGGUGGACCCAGUGUCAGUCCAACUGUGUGCUCAGACCAAACGUGAGCUGACGUUUUAAUGAUUCAUACAAAGUCAAUUCAAAGACACAAAUAAACGUGAAUUUGCACCGGCAAUGCAAAUGACACAAGCACGUGAAAUUUGGAUUGUUGAAUUUUUUUCAGCCUUAGUGACAAAUUCAUUUCACAGCCAUAUUUUACGUGAGUCUCUUAUUUUCCUAACUCUGCAAAACAAUGUCCAUCUUAACAAGUCAUUUACUAUCAUCUGCAAACAGGAUUAAA